Vigna unguiculata (cowpea) is the source of this 2000-nucleotide long non-coding RNA. RefSeq lists it as uncharacterized. NCBI's taxonomy places the organism in Eukaryota, Viridiplantae, Streptophyta, Magnoliopsida, Fabales, Fabaceae. The record is from RefSeq and is a predicted model, not a curated record.
AUUAACUCUUCGUCUUUUAGUGUCUUUCUUCAUUUUAAUUGUAAUUUUUUUUCUCAGAUUACCUUUAUCAUUCCUCAUAUUCUUUCUUUAGUUCGUGGAUUUCUCUCCACAUUCUCUUAAUCCCAACGUCGACAACAACCACUGCCAUGCCCUUUUUCCAUCGUAGGUUGAAUCCACGACAACCAUCUCACUGUCGUUGGCGAUGCCAAGAUCAUCGUGACAAGUGGUGCAAGGUUAGUAGGUGAAUCGAUUGAUUUCGCAAAGGAUGGUGUGAGCGUGGUGGACAAUUUCUUCAUGGGAAGGAAGGAGAACUUGAAGCACCAUUUUGGGAACCCUAGAUUCGAGCCUUUGCCCAAUCAACUUCUAAAAUUGUCAAACAGGGGUAAGUUUUAUGAAGAAAUGAGUAUGUGUGAUGGAACAAACUCUUUCUGGUGUGAGCAUGGAGGAAGUUGUGAGGAAAUUGUUCAAGGAGAGAAAUAUUCAUGCAAAUGUCCUGAUGGAUUUGGUGGGGAACAUUGUGAGCAUUCUGGAGCACCUUGUGGUGAGAGUUUUUGUUUCCAUAAUGCAGAAUGCUUGGCUGAAGCAGGUGAUGUUUGCCAGUGUCCAUCUGAAUGGAGAGGCAGUGUUGAUUGCUCUUUUUUAACCAAACCAACAGAAGACACUAGUUGUUUUGGCUUUAUCUUCAGUGGGAGCAGCUGUUGCUGGUGCCAUUUAUGGAAAGAAAGUAUUCAGCAAAAAAAAAAGAGAGGAAGUUGUUGGACGAGGCCAACAAUCCAUUAAUUUGUAGCUUGGGCUGGACCUAUCCAUGAAGCGGAGUGGAGAUAGGCAUAUGUACUAAAGACAACAUGCACCUGUUGUCUUUAUGUUGACCUUUGGUUUUUUGUUAUUGCUGUGGAUGAGCCAACAAAGGGAGUAAUAAUUCAGGUUGCAGAUAGUGAGAAAACCACAUAUAUCAGAUUGUUUCUGGAGUUCAAGCACUUGUGAUUUGGAUAAUGGCAACAUUCAAUCUCAGAGAAGUAUCUUGUCUCACUUGGUCUUCUUCUUUGGAAUGAAAGUAGGCUUCAAUGGAUUGGAAGUGAAAAAUCUAGCAAGCCUAACCAAUAAAAACGUGAAUCCAGACUGAAUUGGAAUGCAACUUACGAAUGUUUGCUUGGGACUAGAGAACCUUUCCCCAAGUCCAUACCUUUAUCUGACAUGAUGGAGAAAUCUAUUGAGAGGAGAUAGAAAAAGCAUGAUAAAAGAUUGUGAAUCUGCUGCUCGUACAAGAGCAAGGAAACAAACGCUCUUUCAUGUUAUGCGUACAUAAAUGAAUUGGAGAAUAAAGUAUCGGGUCUAGAAGAGGAAAAUAAAUGACGAGGAAACGACAAGAUUAAGCGAAGUACAUCUGUAUAAAUACUUGGGUCUGGUGAGCCAAGAGCCUGUGUUGUUUAAUGACACCAUUCGAGCCAAUAUUGAAUAUGGCAAAGGUGAGGAUGCAACAGAGGCAGAAGUUAUAGCUGUAGCAGAAUUGGCAAAUUCUUACAACUUCAAUAGUAGUUUGCAGGAGGGUUAUGAGACAAUAGUGGGGGAAAGAGGGAUUCAACGAUUUGGAGGGCAGAAACAAAUGGUGGUAAUUGCUCGAGCAAUAGUGAAGAAUCCAAAAAUAUUGUUAUACGAGGAUGGCUUGAUGGUGGUAAUGACAACUCACCAAUGACUAAUGGUAUGUUUGCACAUCACAAUCUUGUGCUCUUUCGCUCUACAAUCCAUGACUAGUUACAAAACCACUGAUCAAGUGCAUUAUUUUUCUUCCAUUUUAAUUGAAUUGUAUAUCUAUUGUUUAUUGAAAUAUCUAGGAAAGAAAGUUAUCAUUUCAUUUUGUUAGCUUGUAUCAGGUUCUUUAAUCACACUUUAUACCUAUCCUCUUGUAUAGGUUAGAUAACAACAUGAUUAUCCUACAAUAGUUGUAAAGUACAUAUUAUAUAGGAUAUAUAUCAAAACGAUCCUUUCUAUGAUUAUCUUUA